UACGUAGGCAGCAAACGUUGUUCGGAAUUAUUGGGCGUAAAGAGUGUGUAGGCGGUUGGGCAAGUCUGGUGUGAAAUCUCCCGGCUUAACUGGGAGGGUGCGCUAGAAACUGCCUGGCUUGAGUGUCGGAGAGGAAGGCGGAAUUCCUGGAGUAGCGGUGAAAUGCGUAGAUAUCAGGAGGAACACCAGCGGUGUAGUCCGCCUUCUGGACGAAAACUGACGCUGAGACACGAAAGCGUGGGGAGCAAACAGG
This 253-nucleotide ribosomal RNA is filed under the name uncultured bacterium. Its description in RNAcentral is "partial 16S ribosomal RNA". It matches the Rfam family "Bacterial small subunit ribosomal RNA", at positions 524 to 776 of the family's 1533-position model. The record is from RNAcentral.